AGUGAACGCUGGCGGUAGGCCUAACACAUGCAAGUCGAACGGCAGCACAGUAAGAGCUUGCUCUUACGGGUGGCGAGUGGCGGACGGGUAAGGAAUACAUCGGAAUCUACUUUUUCGUGGGGGAUAACGUAGGGAAACUUACGCUAAUACCGCAUACGACCUACGGGUGAAAGCAGGGGAUCUUCGGACCUUGCGCGAUUGAAUGAGCCGAUGUCGGAUUAGCUAGUUGGCGGGGUAAAGGCCCACCAAGGCGACGAUCCGUAGCUGGUCUGAGAGGACGAUCAGCCACACUGGAACUGAGACACGGUCCAGACUCCUACGGGAGGCAGCAGUGGGGAAUAUUGGACAAUGGGCGCAAGCCUGAUCCAGCCAUACCGCGUGGGUGAAGAAGGCCUUCGGGUUGUAAAGCCCUUUUGUUGGGAAAGAAAAGCAGCAGGUUAAUACCCCGCUGUUCUGACGGUACCCAAAGAAUAAGCACCGGCUAACUUCGUG
RNAcentral lists this ribosomal RNA (492 nucleotides) under uncultured bacterium. RNAcentral's name for it is "partial 16S ribosomal RNA". It matches the Rfam family "Bacterial small subunit ribosomal RNA", at positions 29 to 507 of the family's 1533-position model. The record is from RNAcentral.